UGGAUGACCUGCCCUUCAGCGGGGAAUAACCCGGGGAAACUACGGGCUAAUACCGCAUACGACCGAGAGGUGAAAGGGGCCGCAAGGCUCUCACUGAAGGAGGGGUCCGCGUCUGAUUAGCUAGUUGGUAGGGUAAUGACCUACCAAGGCUACGAUCAGUAGCUGGUCUGACGAGGAUGAUCAGCCACAUUGGGACUGAGACACGGCCCAAACUCCUACGGGAGGCAG
This 228-nucleotide ribosomal RNA is filed under the name uncultured bacterium. RNAcentral's name for it is "partial 16S ribosomal RNA". It matches the Rfam family "Bacterial small subunit ribosomal RNA", at positions 118 to 351 of the family's 1533-position model. The record is from RNAcentral.